GACGAACGCUGGCGGCGUGCCUAAUACAUGCAAGUUGAGCGAUGAAGCUUGGUGCUUGCACCAAUUUGAAGAGCAGCGAACGGGUGAGUAACGCGUGGGGAAUCUGCCUUUGAGCGGGGGACAACAUUUGGAAACGAAUGCUAAUACCGCAUAACAACUUUAAACAUAAGUUUUAAGUUUGAAAGAUGCAAUUGCAUCACUCAAAGAUGAUCCCGCGUUGUAUUAGCUAGUUGGUGAGGUAAAGGCUCACCAAGGCGAUGAUACAUAGCCGACCUGAGAGGGUAAUCGGCCACAUUGGGACUGAGACACGGCCCAAACUCCUACGGGAGGCAGCAGUAGGGAAUCUUCGGCAAUGGACGAAAGUCUGACCGAGCAACGCCGCGUGAGUGAAGAAGGUUUUCGGAUCGUAAAACUCUGUUGGUAGAGAAGAACGUUGGUGAGAGUGGAAAGCUCAUCAAGUGACGGUAACUACCCAGAAAGGGACGGCUAACUACGUG
This 497-nucleotide ribosomal RNA is filed under the name uncultured bacterium. RNAcentral's name for it is "partial 16S ribosomal RNA". It matches the Rfam family "Bacterial small subunit ribosomal RNA", at positions 28 to 507 of the family's 1533-position model. The record is from RNAcentral.